RNAcentral lists this ribosomal RNA (256 nucleotides) under uncultured bacterium. Its description in RNAcentral is "partial 16S ribosomal RNA". It matches the Rfam family "Bacterial small subunit ribosomal RNA", at positions 524 to 776 of the family's 1533-position model. The record is from RNAcentral.
UACGUAGGGGGGCAAGCGUUUGUCCGGAUUUAUUGGGCGUAAAGAGCGUGUAGGCGGCUAGGUAGGUCCGUUGUGAAAACUCGAGGCUCAACCUCGAGACGCCGAUGGAAACCAUCUGGCUAGAGUCCGGAAGAGGAGAGUGGAAUUCCGGGUGUAGCGGUGGAAUGCGUAGAGAUCCGGAAGAACACCGGUGGCGAAGGCGGCCUGCUGGGCUAUGGCUGACACUGAGGCGCGACAGCGUGGGGGAGCAAACAGG